Molecule: long non-coding RNA, 2746 nt
Organism: Gallus gallus (chicken)
Lineage: Eukaryota; Metazoa; Chordata; Aves; Galliformes; Phasianidae
Source: Ensembl
CAGGAGCCGCGCGCCGCGCAGGGCCCUCUGCCGGCAGAGAAGCGCCGUCUCGCGGAAGAUGAGCGGUUGGUGCUCAGAGCCGCGGGGCGCGACUCAGCGCUGCACGUCUCGUCUGCUGCCUUCAAACAGAGCUCUCUGCUGUCGCUCUGGCCGUUACCGACCCGUGGCUCUCUAGAGGAAUAGGGACUGACUGUUCUUCGGUGAGAAACCUGCCAGAAAGACGAACUUAAACUGAGACGAUGUGUGUUUUUAAAAGCAGUCAUCCCUCCCUCCGACAGUUCUCAGUGUGCAAAUGACUGCAUUGGAUGGAAAAAAUCGUGCAGGGACUCCCGGAAGGAGCAGCUCAGUGGCACAAAGCACUGCAGCGAUGCGCUGUGCCGGGCAUAAGUCUGGCAGCCACAAGGCAGCACAGAGAAUUAAAAAUGGACUUCUGCAGGAGGAUGAGAGGCUGCGAGCCUGCUGAUUAUACCUCUGUCUGCAAGCUCACCUGCAGCCUGGAGGCAGACGACGCUGUAUGCCUGAGGACAGGCACCUCCUGCUGUACUGCCCCUGCUCUGCUCACACACCACAGCUCAGGCUCCAAUAGUGGCCCUGCAGCUGCCAACGUUACCUCAGACACCUCCAGAACAUCUUCUGUGGAAGCUGGUGUUAAGUGAUGUUGGACACACCUCUGCAGGAGCAGCAUUUUCCUCCUGCGUUGUGUGGCACAUUGUGGCACGCAUGCAGAUGCGGGUGGAUGGGAUCCCUGUAACACCACAGAUUCCUUCUGUGAAAUACAACCCUGUUUCCAGACAGGAUGUAGUGUUGGCAGAAGUGCAGAUUUCUCACAUGAGGAACAGAGCCUGAAGGUUUCAGGGCUGCUGUGCUGCACUGUGGAUGCAAAGCACCACACACUGGCAGAGCUUUGCAUGCUGCUGGGGAAUGGAGACCCACAGAGCCCAUGGAUAACCUGAUCCCGAGUCAGGUAAUGCUUCCUGGGGCAACACUUCCACAGCUGUGAUGAGAUAUAUGUACGGCUUCAUAUAUAUAGCACUGUAAGCUUCCACUGUGAUUUAUUGGCAAGCGCGAAUAAAUCUGUUUCUUUGGCUGCAGGAGCACACAGGGGGGACGGAGAGGCUGUAAAAGUAACUCCUGUGCAGCCCGAUCCCAUGCAGUGAAUUCUCACAGCCCACACGGAGCUGUUUCCCAGUGACUUCUGUGCAGCCACGGGCAGCCAACAAGUUGCUGCACAGCACUGCGUGCUGCUAUACACCGCUGCGUGCUGCUGCAUGCCACAACAUGAUGCUGCACACUGCUGCAUGCCUCUGCUACACCGCUGCACGCCGCUGCACACUGCCACAUGGCUUCAGAACCAGGAACCAGCUGAAGAGCUCACAGCAGGACUGAAAAGCCAUGCUGGGCCACAGUGUGCAGGACUGAGCCCCCACAGACCGCGUUUCAUUGACUCACAUGGUAACAUUUUUCUCUUUAGCAUUUCCAGUAACAUUGCAACACAUUUCACAGAAUGCUCUAUUUAAGGUCAUACCCUUGGCCGUUUGCUACUAAAACCUCACAAUUGUAAUUUUCCAGUACUAAGAACAAAGCGACUGGGAAUGGCUGUGAUGCAGGCAGGGAAAGGGUUGGGAGGCCGCAGGUGCUUACAUGGAGAGGUGCCAUUCCAAGCACAGGGAAGCAGUCGGCGGCAGAGCACACCAGGCAGAACGUGCUGGUACCUGAGCAGGACACUGCCAGUGCAUAAAGAAAACUCCGGAGAAUGUUUCCACGUUGGGAUGUAACUCUGAAUGGAAAAGGUCUUCCAGAAGUUGGCUCCAGACCCUCAUCCUCGGUCGGUGGAGUCACCGAGCCUGGUGGUGUUCAAAGAGCGUUUGGACGUUGUGUUGAGGGACGUGGUUUAGUGAGAACCAUUGGUGAAGGGCGAAUGGUUGGACUGCGUGAUCCUGUGGGUCUUUUCCAACCUUAGCAAUUCUAUGAUUCUAUGAUUCUAUGAGCCUUCUUCAGGUGCUGUAAUACAGUUUUAGGAGGUUCCUGGGCAAAGUGCUAACAAUGGAAUACCGGCACUGUGCAAUUCCAGUGGAGCCGUUCAGCCCAUCCCCGCUCAUCCGCAGCCCCCACUGCUGCACAGAUCCGUUCCUGGGAGGCACUGCUGGCACUCGCAGUGCGUGGCUCUGCUGGCCCCGCUCGGCUCCUCUCACUGCAGCCCCAAAACUGCUCUAUCCACCGCGGGCUUUAACUUCCAUCAGCAUAUCAACCUGAUUUCUGCUAAUAGGAAAAUGAAAUGUGUCUUUCUGUCUCCAUUUUGCAAAAGAUAAAGAACUAAGAGUGUGCGUGACAUGACAGAACCUCAAUCUGACCUUCUCCUUGGGCAUUAUUAAUAGUAAAUGCAUAUCGGGUGGUUUCACAACGACCUUGAGAGCGAGUGACACAUCUCACCUGCUGGGGCGCAGUUCCCCAGGCAUUUUGGAAAAGGAAAUCCUUAUUUCUAUUAACUUAUGGGGAAAAUGGAAGCACUGCGGUGUCCAUGCAGAGGUUUUUCCAGUGUCCCAAAACGCCCAACGCAGAAAUGCCCGCGGGUUUUGGGGGCUUACCUGUAAGCACUGUAUUUACUGUGGGCUAAUGAAGAAGAAAUAAAAUUCAACUUCAACCUCCUUCCAAUUUGCAAGUUAUGAAAAAUGCUUCUAGAAGGGAGCUAAUAAAUGUGAUGGAUGUGCUCGGUGGUAAUUGAUCAUUUAUUUUGAACAAAUCCUGG